GGGUGUCGGAUCGAGUCGGCCGUAGAUAGUUGAAUAGAUGUAAUUUAAGCGACCAUCAGCAAUUUUUCCUAAAGGUGGGUAAACUUGACUUCAAGUGGAUGAAUUACUGCGAUGAACUUUUUCACCGGCGAUGCCAUGAUUAUGCCUCUUGAGAUUAGAAGGGUUGAUGGCAUGUCCAAAUUCUAAUUUGCAAUGUAUAAACACAUCAAUUACAGGGCCUUUUCGUUGAUUAAGUAUUUUAACUGACUUAAGCAAUCGUUUUUAAAAAAAUAUUUUUAAAUUUUCUAUUUUUCAUAAAACAAACGGAGCAAUAAAAUUUGCAAAAGAAUUUUGAAUGAUGUAAAAAGAAAUUCUUGAUUGAUGCUGUUAAGAAAAGCGUCACUUAAUACGUAAAUAUGUGACUUCAAUUUUAUCUAUAAAUUCUGAGCUAAUUUUCGUUAUGACAAGAUAGAAUUACUUUUUGUAGUAACACUUGGAAGCUUUGGAUGAUCAAACCUCAACUCCUACUGUUCAUGAUUUAUUAGGAUUACGACUUUAUUUUUUAUUUUCAUGAUUAAAUCUCUCUCAAGAACAAGAAUAAAGAAAUCGGGAAAAUAUUUUUGUAUCAGAUUAUUCGCUAAUUUAAGGUCAAUACUAUAUUACGAAACUAUAUAUAUAUAUAUUCCAUAAUUGCAUAUAUGACGUUUGCACAGUUUACCUUUUCUUGGGCUUCCUCUCUUUCGUAGGCGACUUUGAUAAUCUCACUCCUCCGGCCGUCACCGUCCUCGGACGAUCUUCUUGUUCCGCCAUCGCUGCCAUCCUCCUUCCCUCUCUCUCUCCCCC
RNAcentral lists this long non-coding RNA (822 nucleotides) under Eucalyptus grandis. RNAcentral's name for it is "long non-coding RNA (EGRA_LNC007244)". The record is from RNAcentral. Lineage: Eukaryota; Viridiplantae; Streptophyta; Magnoliopsida; Myrtales; Myrtaceae.